This 56-nucleotide transfer RNA is filed under the name Camelus dromedarius (Arabian camel). It matches the Rfam family "tRNA", at positions 9 to 63 of the family's 71-position model. Rfam says of the family: Transfer RNA (tRNA) molecules are approximately 80 nucleotides in length. Their secondary structure includes four short double-helical elements and three loops (D, anti-codon, and T loops). Lineage: Eukaryota; Metazoa; Chordata; Mammalia; Artiodactyla; Camelidae. The record is from Rfam by way of RNAcentral. RNAcentral also lists the same sequence under 1 other name.
AGCUCAGUGGUCGAGCGCGUGCUUGGCAUGCAUAAGGCCCUGGGUUCAACCCCCAG